GUAUCUAAAAUAAUAUUAACAUUUUCAUUGGGCCAAUAAUCAUCUGAUGAUGUUGGCUGACGUCCAUUUUGCCGAUAUGUCAUCUCUUGCCGUACGUCUCGUCCCAUGCCGAAGCACUUUGCUUCAAAAACAACUGUAGUCAGCACCAGUAGCAUGCAGUUUGUUGUUUCGAAAUAUUCAAGGUAUUGAAUUCUCGCCAAAACCAAUCCCUGCUAUAUAUUUUGUCUUGUACAAAAAGAAUGCUGCAACUCAAGAGGUGAAUCCUGUUGUUGCCGUUGUUCUAUUGCUAUGAACUUCAUCUUGCGGUGGAAACUGAGGGGAUAAUGCUGAAACUCAAGACCCAUAAUUAUGUAGUAUAGAUUAUAAAUUUAAAGUGCAUUUCUGGGCUCCCUUCUUUUCUGUGGCCCCUUUUCCUUAACUAACAACUAAUAACCAACGCCCGCCGGUAGUCACUCACCCGCUGUGAGGGGAGGGCUUGGGUGGCCUCUCCUAAAGACUUAGAACCUUUUUUCACGCUAUUUGGACUUCUUUGUGGGUGACGCAUCAACGCCCGUUUGGAGGUCGAAUUUCCGUUUCGACUCCAUCAUAACCGAUCCUCCUUAUGGAAUUCGUGAAUCAACCUAUAAAGUGGGUAGCAAGAAAAUCGCCCCUAUUCCGGAUGAGAUGCUGUCGACACAUUUUCCUUCUAAAACUCAGUACGGUUUAGGCGACAUCUAUAAAGAUCUUCUUAAUUUUGCCGCCAGUAGUCUCAAACUGCAUGGCCGACUGGUUUUUUGGAUUCCAAUCAUACGAAUGGAGUAUGAUCCAGACCUCCUACCUGAACAUCCUUGUUUGGAAACUAUAGCCAACAGUGAGCAGAUCCUAAAUUUGCAUUCCAGCCGUCGAUUAAUAACUAUGCAAAAGAUUAUGGAACCAAAGGAGGCUGAAGAUUCAGCAAUAAUCCACAACCUGCAGUACACAUUUCGACACAAGUUCUUCAAUACCAGCGAAAUCAAAGGACAUGGAAAGGAAGACGAAAGUGCGCGAAAUCUUACGAAAAGAAGCAAACGGGGAAACGGAAUAGCAAAAUUGCCAUGUGAUGAGUAACCUAACAGUUUUUGAAUAUGCAAUACAAUACACAAGUGGUCUAACAUCGCCGACUUUGAUAGGCGAAAUGAUACCGCAGGAAAUGUUUUCGGCUUGAAAUCGUGGAGAACUAAGUUCUAAAAGGUUGGAAACGAAAACUGAAAGAGAUGUAACUAGAAAUGACAAGAGGCUACUGUUGAAACCUGUCAGUAAUCAACGAGAGAAAGAAUUGUAUGUUUAGUGUAACAGUUACAGUAUAUCUUUUUUAUCGGAAAAAUUUGAAAACAAGCUUGAUAACUUAAAAGACGGAGGGCUGUUCAACGUAAAAAAAAAUUUCGUAGAAUGAAUAUGAAAUAUAUGCUCACACUAUGAUCCAUCACCUCGGGCAAUGCUACCGGCAUCGAAGACCAAAUGAACUUUGUCACAGUGGAGGCAGCACUCACAGAAGAAAGAAUUUUUCUGUAUCUGUCGCUAACCGUACGAUUAUUCCGAGUUGCAUGCAUGUUCACUGUCUCGGCGUUCUGUAUGAGUCGAUCGAAAGUACACGUUAUUUACACAUGUCCCAUUUGUGAACGUAUACGCGUAUACGUUAAUUACUUUGUUUCAGGAAUCCCCCACCAGGUGUCACUGCAGUUUAAUAACAACAAUGGCUGCCAUUGCCCACAUUGAUUAGUGACUGGUAGUGCUUAGUGGUCUGUCUUUCACGUUUCAAUGCAGUCUUAGGUGAACGUUUUUAAAUAUUUGUUUGGCGUUCGUUGCCUUGUAGAUUCUCUGAAAGUCGUGCUGGUAUUUUAGCAUAGUUGGUCCAGUUAAAGCGUGGUUAAAUCGUUGAAACAACUGAACCUGAAGAAAAGAAGAAUGCAAGUCAAGUCAUCUUGCGUCUUUUGACAUGUUUGUGGAUCAAGAAAGGAGGAAACCUGAAAGUUGUGGAGCCUAUCGUCACUAUUUUGCCCAAAAACAUUGUAUUCUACUGAUUGUGCCAUCGAAAUUAUACUGGAUUCAUCAUAGUUAUCUUCUGUUUGUAUUGGACUUACUAGAACACCAACCCCAGUGUGGACCAAUCUCUCAUUCCAUCUUCUAGAGUACCUUAUUGGAUCAUUGGAUCAGUGGUUUCAUGUGUUUCUAAAUUGACAUUACAGACUUGAUGUGAAGUCAUGUCCUUUCAAGAAAAAGGGCAAGGGCUUAGUCAACAAGAUUCAUUGUUUUCUAACUCGUCUCGUUCCGUUGAAUCUCCCCUUUACUUCCUUACACAGGCCCUCUUGUUUGGAGGGUAAUUCCUUCGUGAACUUCAUCCAUUGCUGAAAACCAACGAGAUCAUGCUGUAAUUCAAGACCGAUAAUUUGUCUAGUUAGCUAAAUUACAAGUGCAUAUCUGGG
This 2441-nucleotide long non-coding RNA is filed under the name Daphnia pulex (common water flea). RNAcentral describes it as "uncharacterized LOC124205447, transcript variant X3". The record is from RNAcentral. Lineage: Eukaryota; Metazoa; Arthropoda; Branchiopoda; Diplostraca; Daphniidae.